Molecule: ribosomal RNA, 555 nt
Filed under: uncultured Sebacinales
Lineage: Eukaryota; Fungi; Basidiomycota; Agaricomycetes; Sebacinales
Description: eukaryotic LSU rRNA
Rfam family: Eukaryotic large subunit ribosomal RNA
Source: RNAcentral
UACCCGCUGAACUUAAGCAUAUCAAUAAGCGGAGGAAAAGAAACUAACAAGGAUUCCCCUAGUAACGGCGAGUGAAGAGGGAAAAGCUCAAAUUUUAAAUCUGGUGUCUUUGACUCCCGAGUUGUAAUCUAGAGAAGUGUUUUCCGUGUCGGACCGUGUACAAGUUCCCUGGAACGGGGCGUCAUAGAGGGUGAGAAUCCCGUAUAUGCCACGGACUACCGAUGCUCUGUGAUACACUCUCAACGAGUCGAGUUGUUUGGGAAUGCAGCUCAAAAUGGGUGGUAAAUUCCAUCUAAAGCUAAAUAUUGGCGAGAGACCGAUAGCGAACAAGUACCGUGAGGGAAAGAUGAAAAGCACUUUGGAAAGAGAGUGAAACAGUACGUGAAAUUGUUGAAAGGGAAGCGUUUGAAGUCAGUCGCAUCUGUUGGGGUUCAGCCUGGCUUUUGCCUGGUGUAUUUCCUUUCCGAUGGGUCAGCAUCAGUUUCGACCGAGGGAAAAAGACAUUUGGAAUGUGGCUGUCUUCGGGCAGUGUUAUAGCCUUGUGUUGUAUGUCUC